CAGCCGGCUGUUUUCCCGCUGCGCACCGCUGCUGUGUUUUCCAUAGACAGUUGAGCGCUUUUCGGCGGGUUCCGUUAAAAUGGCGCUGCUGUUGCCAGGAGCUGAACCCCAACAGACGAAGUGACAGCGGUUAAAAACACACCGUGGACCGUUCCGCAAGCACGGAAGGUACUAUGUACGAGAACAAUGGCGACGCUUGAUCAGAAAUCCCCCAACGUGCUUCUGCAGAAUCUGUGCUGUAAGAUUACGGGCAAGAGUGAAGCUGAUGUAGCUCUUCAGUUCCAGUAUGCCGUGAGGGUCAUCGGAAGUAAUUACGCACCCACAAUUGAACGGGAUGAGUUUUUGGUGUCUGAGAAGAUUAAAAAAGAAUUGCUGAAACAAAGACGGGAAGCAGAUGCUGCCCUUUUCUCAGAGUUGCACAGAAAGCUUCAGACCCAGGGUGUACUGAAACAUAGAUGGUCCAUCUUAUACCUCCUGCUAAGCCUCUGUGAGGACCCAAGGAAGCCGUCUAACCGUGUUCCUGUGUGUAGUUAUGGAGCUCUGCUUGCCCAGGGUUUGCCUCGUGAUGUCCACUCCACCCCGUUUUACUACGCCCGUCCCCAGAGCCUCCUGCUCAGCUACCCAGAGCGCUCAGCCACUGCCCAUAACUCCAGCAUGGCUACCAGUGGCAUCGGCAGUAUGGGAGCAUUCUUGAUCAAUGGGCCUGGGCCGACCCCUCCAUCUCUGCUCACUGGACCUGGACCCCAAGCUGUCGCUGAGUCUAUGAGAGGGUCUCAUCUACCAUGGACUCUCCCGGUCUCCAGUUCACCUUCUGGGGCAGCUGCUGCCCCUCGUCCCCCGAGUGGACCCUCUUCCAGUCCAGCACCCAGACUCCCGCAGAGACCAAGACGGGAUGGAGAUGGCAGUGCUGACAUCGGGGAGGCUACUCUCGUCCGAGACAUUCUUUAUGUUUUCCAGGGAAUAGAUGGAAAGUUCAUCAAGAUGUGCAGCCCAGAAAACUGCUACAAAAUUGAUUCAAAGGUGCCUCUAUGUAAGUCUCUAAGAGACACUAGCAGCAGGCUAGCAGAGCUCGGCUGGCUCCACAAUAAGAUUAGAAAAUAUACAGAUUCCCACAGCCUGGAUCGAGCCUUUGGCCUAGUCGGGCAGAGUUUUUGUGCUGCAUUGCAUCAAGAGCUGAAGGAGUACUACAGAUUGUUGUCUGUACUUCAUGCACAGCUCCAGGUGGAAGACGAUCAGGGUGUAAACAUGAGUGUGGAUAACAGUCUGACUCUAAAGAGACUGCUGGUGUGGACCUACGACCCCAAGGUUCGGCUGAAAACACUAGCCGCACUGGUGGACUACUGCCAAGGGCGUAAAGGAGGAGAGUUGGCCUCAGCUGUACAUGCUUAUGAAAAGACGGGUGACCCUCACAUGAGAGCAUUGAUCCAGCACAUCCUUGGUCUGGUGUCCCACCCCAUUCUUAACUUCCUGUAUCGCUGGAUCUACGACGGGGAGCUGGAGGAUACGUACCAUGAGUUCUUUGUAGCCUCAGACCCAGCGGUGAAGACAGACAGACUGUGGCAUGACAAGUACUCUCUGAGGAAGAGUAUGAUCCCCUCCUUCAUCACCAUGGAUCAAGCCAGGAAGGUUCUACUCAUUGGCAAAUCCAUCAACUUCCUGCAUCAGGUAUGCCACGACAGGACGCCGCCGGGAAAGAUCAUGCCUGCCUCCAAAUCCACCGACUCUCCCAAAGAUGCGGCAGUGUUGUUCACUGAUCUGGAAGGGGCCUUUCAGAGUAAGAUUGAUGCUGCAUAUUUUGAGACCAGUAAGUAUCUGUUGGAUGUGUUGAAUAAAAACUACCAGCUGCUGGAGCAUCUUCAGGCCAUGAGGAGAUACCUGCUGCUGGGCCAGGGAGACUUCAUCCGACACCUCAUGGACCUCCUCAAGCCAGAGUUGGCAAGGGCUGCCACCACUCUUUACCAACACAAUCUAACCGGUAUCCUGGAGACUGCUGUCAGAGCAACCAAUGCCCAGUUUGACAGUCCGGAGAUACUGAAGAGGCUUGAUGUCCGGCUACUAGAGGUUUCUCCUGGAGACACUGGUUGGGAUGUCUUCAGUUUGGAUUAUCAUGUAGAGGGGCCCAUUGCCACAGUGUUCACCCGUGAGUGCAUGAGCCACUACCUGCGAGUGUUUAACUUCCUGUGGAGGGCUAAAAGAAUGGAGUACAUCCUCACAGAUAUAUGGAAGGGUCAAAUGUGUAACUCCAAACUGUUGAAGAGCAUGCCGGAGCUCUCCGGUGUGCUGCACCAAUGUCACCUUCUCGCUUCCGAGAUGGUUCACUUCAUCCAUCAGAUGCAGUAUUACAUCACAUUUGAGGUGUUGGAGUGCUCUUGGGAUGAGCUGUGGAAUAAGGUCCACCAGGCUCAGGAUCUGGAUCACAUUAUAGCAGCUCAUGACGUUUUCCUGGACACCAUCAUUUCUCGCUGCCUGCUGGAUGUGAACAACAGGUCUCUGUUGAAUCAGUUGCGCGCGGUGUUUGAUCAGAUCAUUGAGUUCCAGAAUGCUCAGGACACUCUGUACCGCUCAGCUCUAGAAGAGUUGCAACUGCGCAUCCAAUUCGAGGACAAGAAGAGACAGAGGGAAGAAAUGGGCGAGUGGGGUGUAACAGCAGAGCAGGAGGCCGAGGAGAACAGACGUGUGCAGGAGUUUAAAGACACCAUACCAAAAAUGUGCUCUCAGCUCAGAUUACUCACACACUUCUAUCAGGGCAUAGUGCAGGAGUUCCUGUGGCUGCUAAUGACCUGCUCUGAUGAGAGUCUUCAGUUCCUCAGUUUCCGUCUGGACUUCAACGAGCAUUAUAAGGCCCGUGAUCCGCGCCUGCGGCCCUCGCUAGGGGCCACUAGAGGGAGACGAAGCUCCAACAUCUGACCUUGCAGACUUUGGGAAAGUUGAUCUUAAGUGGUUGCUGUCAAGAGACUGUUUAUUAAUAGAGCUACUCAGAACUUUUCUGGUGCUCUGUAAGAAACUCAUAUAACAGGGAAACUGUUUAUAGAAAAUCCUAUUCUAGUGUCAUAACCCCAAUAAUUUCAGUCUGUUGUGGGUUUUUUGUUUGUUUUCUUCAGUUAAUGUGUGAAUAUUAGUUUCAGUUUUGUUAAGAUUUGUGUUUAUGUUUACAUUUUUGGUAAUAUUUAAGUCUAUUUGUUAUUUACGAUUCUUGAUUUUCUUCUAAUGCCCUUUCUUUUUUCACUUCAAAGUGAGUUUGCUUGUCUUAAAGUCUCCUGAUGUGGGAAAAC
RNA transcript from Carassius carassius (crucian carp), 3272 nucleotides. It is a transcript of the gene named gamma-tubulin complex component 3 homolog, with no coding region annotated. NCBI's taxonomy places the organism in Eukaryota, Metazoa, Chordata, Actinopteri, Cypriniformes, Cyprinidae. The record is from RefSeq and is a predicted model, not a curated record. The transcript is spliced from 23 exons.